This 692-nucleotide ribosomal RNA is filed under the name uncultured bacterium. Its description in RNAcentral is "bacterial SSU rRNA". It matches the Rfam family "Bacterial small subunit ribosomal RNA", at positions 108 to 791 of the family's 1533-position model. The record is from RNAcentral.
CUGUAACACGUGAGAAACCUGUCCAUCGGUGGGGAAUAGCCGGCCCAACGGCCGGUUAAUACCGCGUACGAUCGUUCGGGGGCAUCCCUGGACGAUGAAAGCCACGCAAGUGGCGCCGGCGGAGGGUCUCGCGGCCUAUCAGCUAGUUGGCGGGGUAAUGGCCCACCAAGGCGACGACGGGUAGCUGGUCUGAGAGGACGAUCAGCCACAUUGGGACUGAGACACGGCCCAGACUCCUACGGGAGGCAGCAGUGGGGAAUCUUGCGCAAUGGCCGCAAGGCUGACGCAGCGACGCCGCGUGUGGGAUGACGGCCUUCGGGUUGUAAACCACUGUCGGGAGGAACGAAUACGCAGUGAUGAACUGCGGGUGACGGUACCUCCAAAGGAAGCACCGGCUAACUCCGUGCCAGCAGCCGCGGUAAUACGGAGGGUGCGAGCGUUGUCCGGAAUCACUGGGCGUAAAGGGCGCGUAGGUGGCCCGUUAAGUGGCUGGUGAAAUCCCGCGGCUCAACUGCGGGGCUGCCGGUCAUACUGGCGAGCUAGAGCACGGUAGGGGCAGAUGGAAUUCCCGGUGUAGCGGUGGAAUGCGUAGAGAUGUGGAGGAACACCCGAUGGCGAAGGCAGCCUCCUGGGCCAAUACUGACGCUCAUGCACGAAAGCGUGGGGGAGCAAACAGGAUUAGAUGCCCUGGU